GUCCCGGUAGCUCAGUGGAUAGAGCAGCCGCCUUCUAAGCGGUCGGUCGCGCGUUCAAUUCGCGCCCGGGGCACCG
RNAcentral lists this transfer RNA (76 nucleotides) under Pseudomonadota bacterium. RNAcentral's name for it is "Proteobacteria bacterium (freshwater metagenome) tRNA-Arg". It matches the Rfam family "tRNA". Rfam says of the family: Transfer RNA (tRNA) molecules are approximately 80 nucleotides in length. Their secondary structure includes four short double-helical elements and three loops (D, anti-codon, and T loops). Further hydrogen bonds mediate the characteristic L-shaped molecular structure. tRNAs have two regions of fundamental functional importance: the anti-codon, which is responsible for specific mRNA codon recognition, and the 3' end, to which the tRNAs corresponding amino acid is attached (by aminoacyl-tRNA synthetases). tRNAs cope with the degeneracy of the genetic code in two manners: having more than one tRNA (with a specific anti-codon) for a particular amino acid; and 'wobble' base-pairing, i.e. permitting non-standard base-pairing at the 3rd anti-codon position. Lineage: Bacteria; Pseudomonadati; Pseudomonadota. The record is from RNAcentral. RNAcentral also lists the same sequence under 1 other name.